CAAAAGCUUGGUCCUGACUUUACCAUCAAUUUUGAUCAAAUUUAUACAUGCAAGUAUCCGCACCCCUGUGAGAAUGCCCUGCAUUUUUCCUACCGGAAAAAAAGGAGCUGGAGUUAGGCACGCCCUGAGGCAGCCCACAAUUCCUUGCUUAGCCACACCCCCAAGGGAGCUCAGCAGUAAUAAACAUUAAGCUAUGAGUGAAAGCUUGACUUAGUUAAGAUCAAGAGGGCCGGUAAAACUCGUGCCAGCCACCGCGGUUAUACGAGAGGCCCAAGUUGAUGGAUGCCGGCGUAAAAUGUGGUUAAUUUACAUUGUUGCACUAAAGCAAAACACCUUCUAAGCUGUUAUAUGCUCUCGAAGACAGGAAGCCCUUUUACGAAAGUAGCUUUAAAUAGUAUGACCCACGAAAGCUAGGGAACAAACUGGGAUUAGAUACCCCACUAUG
RNAcentral lists this ribosomal RNA (445 nucleotides) under Pomatoschistus pictus (painted goby). RNAcentral describes it as "partial small subunit ribosomal RNA". It matches the Rfam family "Bacterial small subunit ribosomal RNA", at positions 7 to 794 of the family's 1533-position model. Lineage: Eukaryota; Metazoa; Chordata; Actinopteri; Gobiiformes; Gobiidae. The record is from RNAcentral.